GAUGAAGAACGUAGCGAAAUGCGAUAAGUAAUGUGAAUUGCAGAAUUCAGUGAAUCAUCGAAUCUUUGAACGCACAUUGCGCCCUCUGGUAUUCCGGGGGGCAUGCCUGUUCGAGCGUCAUUAUAACCACUCAAGCUCUCGCUUGGUAUUGGGGUUCGCGGUUUCGCGGCCCCUAAAAUCAGUGGCGGUGCCUGUCGGCUCUACGCGUAGUAAUACUUCUCGCGAUUGAGUUCGUUAGGUCUACUUGCCAGUAACCCCCAAUUUUUACAGGUUGACCUCGGAUCAGGUAGGGAUACCCGCUGAACUUAAGCAUAUCAAUAAGCGGAGGA
This 329-nucleotide unclassified non-coding RNA is filed under the name soil metagenome. Its description in RNAcentral is "partial contains 5.8S ribosomal RNA, internal transcribed spacer 2, and large subunit ribosomal RNA". The stretch from base 1 to 120 matches the Rfam family "5.8S ribosomal RNA", at positions 35 to 154 of the family's 154-position model. The record is from RNAcentral.